Molecule: ribosomal RNA, 405 nt
Filed under: uncultured bacterium
Lineage: Bacteria
Description: bacterial SSU rRNA
Rfam family: Bacterial small subunit ribosomal RNA
Source: RNAcentral
UUUUGGACAAUGGGCGCAAGCCUGAUCCAGCAAUGCCGCGUGCAGGAUGAAGGCCUUCGGGUUGUAAACUGCUUUUGUACGGAGCGAAAAGGCUUCCACUAAUACUGGGGGCUCAUGACGGUGCCGUAAGAAUAAGCACCGGCUAACUACGUGCCAGCAGCCGCGGUAAUACGUAGGGUGCAAGCGUUAAUCGGAAUUACUGGGCGUAAAGCGUGCGCAGGCGGUUAUGUAAGACAGAUGUGAAAUCCCCGGGCUUAACCUGGGAACUGCAUUUGUGACUGCAUGGCUAGAGUACGGUAGAGGGGGAUGGAAUUCCGCGUGUAGCAGUGAAAUGCGUAGAUAUGCGGAGGAACACCGAUGGCGAAGGCAAUCCCCUGGAUCCUGUACUGACGCUCAUGCACGAAG